UUAAGCGACAAGCGUACACGGUGGAUGCCCUGGCAGUCAGAGGCGAUGAAGGACGUGCUAAUCUGCGAAAAGCGCCGGUAAGGUGAUAUGAACCGUUAUAACCGGCGAUGUCCGAAUGGGGAAACCCAGUGUGACUCGUCACACUAUCAUUAACUGAAUCCAUAGGUUAAUGAGGCGAACCGGGGAACUGAAACAUCUAAGUACCCCGAGGAAAAGAAAUCAACCGAGAUUCCCCAGUAGCGGCGAGCGAACGGGGAGGAGCCCAGAGCCUGAAUCAGCAUGUGUGUUAGUGGAAGCGUCUGGAAAGGCGCGCGAUACAGGGUGACAGCCCGUACACAAAAGCGCAUGUGCUGUGAGCUCGAUGAGUAGGGCGGGACACGUGAUAUCCUGUCUGAAUAUGGGGGGACCAUCCUCCAAGGCUAAAUACUCCUGACUGACCGAUAGUGAACCAGUACCGUGAGGGAAAGGCGAAAAGAACCCCGGCGAGGGAGUGAAACAGAACCUGAAACCGUGUACGUACAAGCAGUGGGAGCAUGAGUUUACUCAUGUGACUGCGUACCUUUUGUAUAAUGGGUCAGCGACUUAUAUUCUGUAGCAAGGUUAACCGAAUAGGGGAGCCGGAGGGAAACCGAGUCUUAAUUGGGCGUUAAGUUGCAGGGUAUAGACCCGAAACCCGGUGAUCUAGCCAUGGGCAGGUUGAAGGUUGGGUAACACUAACUGGAGGACCGAACCGACUAAUGUUGAAAAAUUAGCGGAUGACCUGUGGCUGGGGUGAAAGGCCAAUCAAACCGGGAGAUAGCUGGUUCUCCCGAAAGCUAUUUAGGUAGCGCCUCGUGAAUUCAUCUCCGGGGGUAGAGCACUGUUUCGGCCAGGGGGCCAUCCCGGCUUACCAACCCGAUGCAAACUGCGAAUACCGGAGAAUGUUAUCACGGGAGACACACGGCGGGUGCUAACGUCCGUCGUGAAGAGGGAAACAACCCAGACCGCCAGCUAAGGUCCCAAAGUCAUGGUUAAGUGGGAAACGAUGUGGGAAGGCCCAGACAGCCAGGAUGUUGGCUUAGAAGCAGCCAUCAUUUAAAGAAAGCGUAAUAGCUCACUGGUCGAGUCGGCCUGCGCGGAAGAUGUAACGGGGCUAAACCAUGCACCGAAGCUGCGGCAGCGACACUGUGUGUUGUUGGGUAGGGGAGCGUUCUGUAAGCCUGCGAAGGUGGCCUGUGAGGGUUGCUGGAGGUAUCAGAAGUGCGAAUGCUGACAUAAGUAACGAUAAUGCGGGUGAAAAACCGCACGCCGGAAGACCAAGGGUUCCUGUCCAACGUUAAUCGGGGCAGGGUGAGUCGACUCCUAAGGCGAGGCCGAAAGGCGUAGUCGAUGGGAAACGGGUUAAUAUUCCCGUACCUGGUGUUACUGCGAAGGGGGGACGGAGAAGGCUAUGUUGGCCGGGCGACGGUUGUCCCGGUUUAAGCGUGUAGGCUGGUUUUCCAGGCAAAUCCGGAAAAUCAAGGCUGAGGCGUGACGACGAGGCACUACGGUGCUGAAGCAACAAAUGCCCUGCUUCCAGGAAAAGCCUCUAAGCCUCAGGUAACAUCAGAUCGUACCGAAACCGACACAGGUGGUCAGGUAGAGAAUACCAAGGCGCUUGAGAGAACCCGGGUGAAGGAACUAGGCAAAAUGGUGCCGUAACUUCGGGAGAAGGCACGCUGACACGUAGGUGAAGCGGUUUACCCGUGGAGCUGAAGUCAGUCGAAGAUACCAGCUGGCUGCAACUGUUUAUUAAAAACACAGCACUGUGCAAACACGAAAGUGGACGUAUACGGUGUGACGCCUGCCCGGUGCCGGAAGGUUAAUUGAUGGGGUCAGCGCAAGCGAAGCUCCUGAUCGAAGCCCCGGUAAACGGCGGCCGUAACUAUAACGGUCCUAAGGUAGCGAAAUUCCUUGUCGGGUAAGUUCCGACCUGCACGAAUGGCGUAAUGAUGGCCAGGCUGUCUCCACCCGGGACUCAGUGAAAUUGAACUCGCUGUGAAGAUGCAGUGUACCCGCGGCAAGACGGAAAGACCCCGUGAACCUUUACUAUAGCUUGACACUGAACACUGGUCCUUGAUGUGCAGGAUAGGUGGGAGGCUUUGAAGUGUGGACGCCAGUCUGCAUGGAGCCGUCCUUGAAAUACCACCCUUUAAUGGCUGGUGUUCUAACGUAGACCCGUGAACCGGGUUGCGGACAGUGUCUGGUGGGGUAGUUUGACUGGGGCGGUCUCCUCCUAAAGCGUAACGGAGGAGCACGAAGGUUGGCUAAUCCUGGUCGGACAUCAGGAGGUUAGUGCAAUGGCAUAAGCCAGCUUGACUGCGAGCGUGACGGCGCGAGCAGGUGCGAAAGCAGGUCAUAGUGAUCCGGUGGUUCUGAAUGGAAGGGCCAUCGCUCAACGGAUAAAAGGUACUCCGGGGAUAACAGGCUGAUACCGCCCAAGAGUUCAUAUCGACGGCGGUGUUUGGCACCUCGAUGUCGGCUCAUCACAUCCUGGGGCUGAAGUAGGUCCCAAGGGUAUGGCUGUUCGCCAUUUAAAGUGGUACGCGAGCUGGGUUUAGAACGUCGUGAGACAGUUCGGUCCCUAUCUGCCGUGGGCGCUGGAGAACUGAGGGGGGCUGCUCCUAGUACGAGAGGACCGGAGUGGACGCAUCACUGGUGUUCGGGUUGUCAUGCCAAUGGCACUGCCCGGUAGCUAAAUGCGGAAGAGAUAAGUGCUGAAAGCAUCUAAGCACGAAACUUGCCCCGAGAUGAGUUCUCCCUGAGACUACAAGUCUCCUGAAGGAACGUUGAAGACGACGACGUUGAUAGGCCGGGUGUGUAAGCGCAGCGAUGCGUUGAGCUAACCGGUACUAAUGAACCGUGAGGCUUAACCUU
RNAcentral lists this ribosomal RNA (2895 nucleotides) under Salmonella enterica subsp. arizonae. RNAcentral's name for it is "bacterial LSU rRNA". It matches the Rfam family "Bacterial large subunit ribosomal RNA". Lineage: Bacteria; Pseudomonadati; Pseudomonadota; Gammaproteobacteria; Enterobacterales; Enterobacteriaceae. The record is from RNAcentral.